Molecule: ribosomal RNA, 433 nt
Filed under: uncultured bacterium
Lineage: Bacteria
Description: partial 16S ribosomal RNA
Rfam family: Bacterial small subunit ribosomal RNA
Source: RNAcentral
AACGAACGCUGGCGGCAUGCCUAACACAUGCAAGUCGAACGAGACCUUCGGGUCUAGUGGCGCAGGGGUGCGUAACGCGUGGGAACCUGCCCUUAGGUUCGGAAUAACUCCCCGAAAGGGGUGCUAAUACCGGAUAAUGUCUUCGGACCAAAGAUUUAUCGCCUUUGGAUGGGCCCGCGUUGGAUUAGCUAGUUGGUAGGGUAAAAGCCUACCAAGGCGACGAUCCAUAGCUGGUCUGAGAGGAUGAUCAGCCACACUGGGACUGAGACACGGCCCAGACUCCUACGGGAGGCAGCAGUGGGGAAUAUUGGACAAUGGGCGAAAGCCUGAUCAAGCAAUGCCGCGUGAGUGAUGAAGGCCUUAGGGUUGUAAAGCUCUUUUACACGGGAUGAUAAUGACAGUACCGGGAGAAUAAGCUCCGGCUAACUCCGUG